RNAcentral lists this long non-coding RNA (397 nucleotides) under Salvia miltiorrhiza (redroot sage). RNAcentral's name for it is "long non-coding RNA (SMIL_LNC004504)". The record is from RNAcentral. Lineage: Eukaryota; Viridiplantae; Streptophyta; Magnoliopsida; Lamiales; Lamiaceae.
CCAAAUAAAGGCCAAGAAUAGCAUGCUAAAAAGAGUGGUUGUUGAGGACGAUCUUUCCCAAAUGAUAGCAUUUUCUUAAUAAUGUUGUACACAUGUAAUUGCAUAUAUUUCACCCUGCGCCACAUAUUUUGGUGGCUGGCCUUGUUUUUUUUUAGAGGGGUGGUUAGCCUUGUUAUUUGAGUUAAUUGCAUAAAUAUUCAAGAUCUUAUUUGACAUGGAUAAUAGCAACAUUUAUUUCUUCUAUUUGCAAUUGCCUCGAAUAUAUUAGCUGAAUACCUUCUAUUUCAUUUUGUAAGGUCAUAUUUAUAUUAGCAAAUUAGGUGAGAUAUCUAAAAAAAUAGUUACACAUUUUACAUGACACAAAAACUAGUUACACUUAUAAAUGUGACAAAAAUAG